AGACAAGCUUUGAAGGGGAGGAGUACACAGCGAAAGCUUUAAGAGAGGUUGGCGCGUGGGCUGAGACGCCGACUAAGCGGACACUGUGGAACGUCGUCCCGGAGCUGCCAACCUGAACGCCGCGGCGAGUAAGGUUGGCCGGUCGCAGGCCGUUAUCCGAUCGAGGGCACAAGUGUGCGACUUGUGAACGAAAGGUGGUACCGCGGAAACAGUCUUCCGUCCUUUAU
Molecule: non-coding RNA, 227 nt
Filed under: Novibacillus thermophilus
Lineage: Bacteria; Bacillati; Bacillota; Bacilli; Caryophanales; Thermoactinomycetaceae
Description: T-box sequence
Rfam family: T-box leader
About the family: Uncharged tRNA acts as the effector for transcription antitermination of genes in the T-box leader family. T-boxes are found upstream of many aminoacyl-tRNA synthetase genes and some amino acid biosynthetic genes usually in Gram-positive bacteria.
Source: RNAcentral